UACGUAGGUGGCAAGCGUUAUCCGGAUUUACCGGGUGUAAAGGGCGUGUAGGCGGGUCUGCAAGUUGGAUGUGAAAUCAAUCGGCUUAACUGGUUGGCUGCAUCCAAAACUGUGGAUCUUGAGUGUUGGAGAGGAUAGUGGAAUUCCUAGUGUAGCGGUAAAAUGCGUAGAUAUUAGGAGGAACACCAGUGGCGAAGGCGGCUAUCUGGACAACAACUGACGCUGGGGCGCGAAAGCGUGGGGAUCAAACAGGAUUAGAUACCCUGGUA
RNAcentral lists this ribosomal RNA (269 nucleotides) under uncultured prokaryote. Its description in RNAcentral is "partial 16S ribosomal RNA". It matches the Rfam family "Bacterial small subunit ribosomal RNA", at positions 524 to 792 of the family's 1533-position model. The record is from RNAcentral.